GGGAAGUGGCGCGUGCCUAUACAUGCAGUCGAACGAACUCUGGUAUUGAUUGGUGCUUGCAUCAUGAUUUACAUUUGAGUGAGUGGCGAACUGGUGAGUAACACGUGGGAAACCUGCCCAGAAGCGGGGGAUAACACCUGGAAACAGAUGCUAAUACCGCAUAACAACUUGGACCGCAUGGUCCGAGCUUGAAAGAUGGCUUCGGCUAUCACUUUUGGAUGGUCCCGCGGCGUAUUAGCUAGAUGGUGGGGUAACGGCUCACCAUGGCAAUGAUACGUAGCCGACCUGAGAGGGUAAUCGGCCACAUUGGGACUGAGACACGGCCCAAACUCCUACGGGAGGCAGCAGUAGGGAAUCUUCCACAAUGGACGAAAGUCUGAUGGAGCAACGCCGCGUGAGUGAAGAAGGGUUUCGGCUCGUAAAACUCUGUUGUUAAAGAAGAACAUAUCUGAGAGUAACUGUUCAGGUAUUGACGGUAUUUAACCAGAAAGCCACGGCUAACUACGUGCCAGCAGCCGCGGUAAUACGUAGGUGGCAAGCGUUGUCCGGAUUUAUUGGGCGUAAAGCGAGCGCAGGCGGUUUUUUAAGUCUGAUGUGAAAGCCUUCGGCUCAACCGAAGAAGUGCAUCGGAAACUGGGAAACUUGAGUGCAGAAGAGGACAGUGGAACUCCAUGUGUAGCGGUGAAAUGCGUAGAUAUAUGGAAGAACACCAGUGGCGAAGGCGGCUGUCUGGUCUGUAACUGACGCUGAGGCUCGAAAGUAUGGGUAGCAAACAGGAUUAGAUACCCUGGUAGUCCAUACCGUAAACGAUGAAUGCUAAGUGUUGGAGGGUUUCCGCCCUUCAGUGCUGCAGCUAACGCAUUAAGCAUUCCGCCUGGGGAGUACGGCCGCAAGGCUGAAACUCAAAGGAAUUGACGGGGGCCCGCACAAGCGGUGGAGCAUGUGGUUUAAUUCGAAGCUACGCGAAGAACCUUACCAGGUCUUGACAUACUAUGCAAAUCUAAGAAGAUUAGACGUUCCCUUCGGGGACAUGGAUACAGGUGGGGGCAGGGUUGUCGUCAGCUCGUGUCCUGAGAAGUUGGGGUUAAGUCCCGCAACGAGCGCAACCCUUAUAAUCAGUUGCCAGCAUUAAAUUGGGCACUCUGGUGGAGACUGCCGGUGAAAACCCGAGGAAGAGGGGGGAGGUGAGAAUAAAAAAAA
This 1200-nucleotide ribosomal RNA is filed under the name Lactiplantibacillus plantarum. Its description in RNAcentral is "bacterial SSU rRNA". It matches the Rfam family "Bacterial small subunit ribosomal RNA", at positions 31 to 1193 of the family's 1533-position model. The record is from RNAcentral. Lineage: Bacteria; Bacillati; Bacillota; Bacilli; Lactobacillales; Lactobacillaceae.